UACAGAGGUCUCAAGCGUUGUUCGGAUUCAUUGGGCGUAAAGGGUGUGUAGGUGGCGCCGUAAGUCGGGUGUGAAAUUUCGGAGCUUAACUCCGAAACUGCAUUCGAUACUGCGGUGCUUGAGGACUGGAGAGGAGACUGGAAUUCAUGGUGUAGCGGUGAAAUGCGUAGAGAUCAUGAGGAAGACCAGUGGCGAAGGCGGGUCUCUGGACAGUUCCUGACACUGAGGCGCGAAGGCGUGGGGAGCAAACAGG
Molecule: ribosomal RNA, 253 nt
Filed under: uncultured bacterium
Lineage: Bacteria
Description: partial 16S ribosomal RNA
Rfam family: Bacterial small subunit ribosomal RNA
Source: RNAcentral